GACGAACGCUGGCGGCGUGCUUAACACAUGCAAGUCGAGCGGAAAGGCUCCUUCGGGGGUACUCGAGCGGCGAACGGGUGAGUAACACGUGAGUAAUCUGCCCUUGGCUUCGGGAUAACUACCGGAAACGGUGGCUAAUACCGGAUAUGACCACUCCUUGCAUGAGGUGGUGGUGGAAAGUUUUUCGGCCAGGGAUGUGCUCGCGGCCUAUCAGCUUGUUGGUGGGGUAAUGGCCUACCAAGGCUUCGACGGGUAGCCGGCCUGAGAGGGUGACCGGCCACACUGGGACUGAGACACGGCCCAGACUCCUACGGGAGGCAGCAGUGGGGAAUAUUGGACAAUGGGCGGAAGCCUGAUCCAGCAACGCCGCGUGAGGGAUGACGGCCUCGGUUGUAACCU
This 399-nucleotide ribosomal RNA is filed under the name uncultured bacterium. Its description in RNAcentral is "bacterial SSU rRNA". It matches the Rfam family "Bacterial small subunit ribosomal RNA", at positions 28 to 432 of the family's 1533-position model. The record is from RNAcentral.